Molecule: ribosomal RNA, 432 nt
Filed under: uncultured bacterium
Lineage: Bacteria
Description: partial 16S ribosomal RNA
Rfam family: Bacterial small subunit ribosomal RNA
Source: RNAcentral
AACGAACGCUGGCGGCAGGCCUAACACAUGCAAGUCGAGCGAGCAUUUCGGUGCUAGCGGCGGACGGGUGAGUAACGCGUGGGAACGUGCCCUUUUCUGCGGAAUAGUCCUGGGAAACUGGGGGUAAUACCGCAUACGCCCUUUUGGGGAAAGAUUUAUCGGAGAAGGAUCGGCCCGCGUUGGAUUAGGUAGUUGGUGGGGUAAUGGCCCACCAAGCCGACGAUCCAUAGCUGGUUUGAGAGGAUGAUCAGCCACACUGGGACUGAGACACGGCCCAGACUCCUACGGGAGGCAGCAGUGGGGAAUCUUAGACAAUGGGGGCAACACUGAUCUAGCCAUGCCGCGUGAGUGAUGAAGGCCUUAGGGUUGUAAAGCUCUUUCAGCUGGGAAGAUAAUGACGGUACCAGCAGAAGAAGCCCCGGCUAACUCCGU